GACGUUAAGACCACGCUGGUUUCACUGUCGAAAGAGCUAGUUACUGUCACGAUUAUUAUUCUUUUCUGUGUUUCGUGAAGCCAUUUAUUCAGCUUUUUCAGCUCGUUUUCUGUUCUGAGCUGUCAGUUCAAACCCUAUUCUGAGUGCUUUUGCUUGCCUAGCAUUGGCUUCAUAUCUAUAUUCCCUGUCUGUGUGCAUAUUGGUCUGGGUGACUCCUCACAUUUUCUCGUGUCAUCCCAGACAUCACACGUAUGUCAGUUCACUGUAUGUCAACACAGUUUGAGUCCUACACAUAUUUCAUUUUGUGUCGUGCUUGACCCAGCAUCAACUUGCGAAUAAACUAUAGGGGCUGCUUACAACAGACCCCAGAAGAAACUCUGAAGGCUCUCACUAAAUCCAUAGCGUCGAAACAUUUUGGAGCUUCUGCC
Daphnia pulicaria is the source of this 428-nucleotide long non-coding RNA. RefSeq lists it as uncharacterized. NCBI's taxonomy places the organism in Eukaryota, Metazoa, Arthropoda, Branchiopoda, Diplostraca, Daphniidae. The record is from RefSeq and is a predicted model, not a curated record. The transcript is spliced from 5 exons.